This 233-nucleotide ribosomal RNA is filed under the name uncultured bacterium. Its description in RNAcentral is "partial 16S ribosomal RNA". It matches the Rfam family "Bacterial small subunit ribosomal RNA", at positions 28 to 260 of the family's 1533-position model. The record is from RNAcentral.
GACGAACGCUGGCGGCGUGCUUAACACAUGCAAGUCGAGCGGUAAGGCCCUUUCGGGGGGUACACCGAGCGGCGAACGGGUGAGUAACACGUGGGUGACCUGCCCUCAGCUCUGGGAUAAGCCUGGGAAACCGGGUCUAAUACUGGAUAUGACUCCAUGACGCAUGUUGUGGGGUGGAAAGCCUUGUGCGGCUGAGGAUGGGCCCGCGGCCUAUCAGCUUGUUGGUGGGGUGA